UCAGCCCUUCAUAACCGGCGUGGCCCUUCAGCAGGGCGCUCUUCCCGGAAAAAAAAAGAAAAGAAAAAAAAAAGCACCGUUUGCGAAUACCAAUGCUUACCGUUCCGUUUUCCGGUUGCUUUCUAGCUUACUCCUGCGAGGAGGGGCCCCCGGGAAACCUCACUUUCUACUUAUGGGUCGUACCGGAGAGCACAGGGGUGGAUUUCGGCCUCUCUUUCCUGGGGGGAGGGGGCUGCGGUUUCCCUUUUUUGUGCCUUUUCUUCGGAAACACCCAGGCGGAAAGCCCUGCCGCUCUCAUAACCAGCGGUUGCUAAGGCAGCAAGGUGGCCUCACAGUUGUACGGCGGUAGCCUGAUGUAAAAUGCACCCUGAAGGGACGGUUGCUCCCCCGGUCGACGCUGUCUCUUGGCUUGAUGGCUCAUCAGCAAAGUGCUUUCCAUUGUCUCCCAUGAUGUGUCAAAUAUGUCUGCCGAAAGAGCAUCCUCGCUUCACCUCUGCCUCUGGAAACCUGCUUCACUUCUGGAAUGGACCACUGUUCAUCUAUUCAGCAUUUUUUUAAAAAAAUGUUGUGGCGUCGUCUUCAGGAAAAAGGACACAGGAAUGCAUUUGUGUGUUAUUCUUUGCAAAGGUGGUAUCAAUGUUUGAACGUGAAAGAUGAGAAAGGUGAAGUUCUUUUCGUAACAGCUCUCAAGAGAAACAUCAGUGUACUAUGGCAGGCUCCUCUCAGCUUUAUAAGAAAAGUACAUUCCCUCCACUUUUGGAGUCUUACUUACCUCUGAAUUGCCAGAAUCAGGGCAAAGAUGGUUAAGAGGGCAGUGAUAUAUGUCUGAUAUCCUUCCACCCUACUCCUUUUUCUUUGACUUCAUAUUCACUCACAAAAUCUCAAUAGGUUUUGGACACAAGUUCAAAUAUGAGUACAAAUUCCUUUCAGGUGUUUUCAUGGAAUGGAAGGAUUUGAGAAAAGGAAAGUGCAUGGCGAACAGAGCAAAUUGGCAAAAACCAGAAAGAAACAAAAAGGAGCAGAUAAGGAACAACAGCCACAUUUUAAGUGAGGAAGAAAAGGAUAAACUCCUUAAGCAAGCUCUGCUUGAAAAGCAUCAUCUUGAAACCUACAAGAAUCUUUAUAAGAUAAGAAAUAUCUUAUAUGAACGCUACAAGACUUUAUUGAAUGAGAAAGUGCUAAAGCAACGAAUUCAGAUCAAGGCAUUUGAUCUGAAAGAUCAACAACUUAAGCACAAAGAACAAAAGUACACCCUUCGUCGUAAACUUCCUUUCUGCAAGCUGUCGCAUGAUACGAAGUACUUGGAGUCCGUGUCACAGUCAAACAGCUACUGGGUUACUGGAUUGCACAAUGAACUAACUAAACUUGGAAUCAUAAAGAACCAGCAAGAUUAUGAAAACUUUUGGAAAUUUGCUUGGGAGGAUAUUCCUGGCCCAAAGAUCAAGGAGAAGCUUCCUGAUAUAAAAGCAAGAAGCUGAGUAUCUUCAUAAUUUCUGGAAAUUAGAAUAAGAUUCAUCUCUACAGGAAAAGCAGACACCUAUUUUAUUUAUUCUUUCACUAGCCAAUAUUUUAAAUAAGGAAAUUGCUCCCUAGAAGAUCUUGUGAGCAUUUAUAAUCCUUAAAAUGCAAGAUUAAAACCAAGUUAAAUAAAUAAUAAAUUAAUUUGAAAUGCACAUAAUCUCACCAGCAAAGUGGCACCUACGAGAUGAGAAAUAUGGGUUGGACUAUAGAUACUAGCAAUUUCAUUUGUCCAAGUCACGCCAUCUUCCUUACUCUAUACCAAGGAUCUUCAAACUUGGCAAGUUUAAGACUUGUGGACUUCCUCAGCUAACAUGACUAGAGGAGGAAUUCUGGGAGUUGAAGACCACAAGUCUUAAAGCUGUCAAAUUUGAAGACCCCUGCUCUAUACAUAGACACAGCCAUGAGGAAAGCCCUGAAAUAUGCUCACUUCACUCAUCUUUGUCGGAAUUUUCUCAAAAUUUUCCCCCUCGAGAUGCAUUUACUUUAUAUCUUUUUUAUUUGAUUGAUUGAAUCUUAUGAUCAUCUAUCUCAAAAUAACAAGCAGACAAACAAUAAUAAACAGUAAAAAACUUACACUAGUUACCAAGAGAAAACCUAAAGAGAACAAUCAACAAAAUUCUUCCAUGAACCAACUAGCCUUCUUCAACACUUCACAAAAGGUCAGCAUGUUGAGGACUAAUCUAAUCUCUGGUUCUCAGAAAGCAGGUGGUAUGACAGAAAAUGCAUACUUCUUAAGUCCCAACAAUUGGGACUAAUUGAAAAACACAAUUAGUGAAAUUUGUAAUAAAACAGUUGUAUUAUCGGAAAUGUUCAGUUGAUAAAUUUUGUUUCAGCUGAUGAAAAUAAAUUUAGUUAUGCUAUUUAUGUCUGA
This is a long non-coding RNA of Laticauda laticaudata (blue-ringed sea krait), 2392 nucleotides long. The record is from Ensembl. NCBI's taxonomy places the organism in Eukaryota, Metazoa, Chordata, Lepidosauria, Squamata, Elapidae.